Molecule: non-coding RNA, 79 nt
Organism: Podarcis lilfordi (Lilford's wall lizard)
Lineage: Eukaryota; Metazoa; Chordata; Lepidosauria; Squamata; Lacertidae
Source: the annotation of a GenBank genome assembly
AUUCAGAUCAGAUCUUUAUUCAGAUCUGAGAAUGAGACUCUGAAUCUCAGGGCUGUGGGUUCAAGUCCCGUUUUGGAUG